RNAcentral lists this ribosomal RNA (264 nucleotides) under Lactiplantibacillus plantarum. Its description in RNAcentral is "Lactobacillus plantarum partial 16S ribosomal RNA". It matches the Rfam family "Bacterial small subunit ribosomal RNA", at positions 364 to 620 of the family's 1533-position model. Lineage: Bacteria; Bacillati; Bacillota; Bacilli; Lactobacillales; Lactobacillaceae. The record is from RNAcentral.
UUCCACAAUGGACGAAAGUCUGAUGGAGCAACGCCGCGUGAGUGAAGAAGGGUUUCGGCUCGUAAAACUCUGUUGUUAAAGAAGAACAUAUCUGAGAGUAACUGUUCAGGUAUUGACGGUAUUUAACCAGAAAGCCACGGCUAACUACGUGCCAGCAGCCGCGGUAAUACGUAGGUGGCAAGCGUUGUCCGGAUUUAUUGGGCGUAAAGCGAGCGCAGGCGGUUUUUUAAGUCUGAUGUGAAAGCCUUCGGCUCAACCGAAGAA